Molecule: long non-coding RNA, 1649 nt
Organism: Glossina fuscipes
Lineage: Eukaryota; Metazoa; Arthropoda; Insecta; Diptera; Glossinidae
Exons: 6
Source: RefSeq, a predicted model, not a curated record
AAGAAGAAAUCGUGCUUUAAGUACGGAAAAGUAAAAAAUAAGGAAGAUGCGGCAAUAAUGCCAUAUAGGAAAAUCAAUCAGAAAACGAACCAAAGUAAAGAAUAAAAAAGGUACGAUAAUAAUGCCAACAAAGAGAAUCCUAUAUUGAAUCGAUAAAGUGAAGUUCAACUCUCCGCUCAUCGCCUCGUAUAGAUGAAGAUUCGGUGUAUGCCAAAACGUACGCCUGCUUCAGCGGGAUGCGAUACUUCCACAGACCAGUAAUAUCAACACACCUCUCAACGCACCGCAUAACCCACUGUCAAGCAGCAUACCGCCAUAUAUUUAUUUAUUUACCUUAUCUUGCCUAUAUUAUACACGUUUAUAUUAUAUUAUAUUAAUAAGGGGGCUUUAUUUAUUGUUGUAAAUAUUAUUAUAGUUUUAAGUUAUGUUUAUAAUGAUGUAGGCCUACAGGCCAUUCAAAACAAUUGGCAACGCGUUUAUCACGGUACCUCAAGGCUUGUAUGGAAAACCGUGAUAAGCGACCUUAAGCAAAAUUCGUAUACUACCCGAAAUGUUUAACAAUUAAUUACGUUUAAUAUGUUUAAUAACGUUUCAUGUCUCCUCUUCUUUUUAACAUCUCUUCUGGGAUAAUAAUUCAAGAAGCUAUUCAAACGAUCGAAGCAAGCGUAAAUGAUAGAAGUAACAACUUUAGAUUAACCCUAAACAUCAUUAAUAACCAAAAUGUAGAAGGGUUUUCCAAGCUCAUAUAACUUAACUCCAUAUUACACGAAUUUAAUCUCUCCUAUUAUUUGUCUGUUUUAUCUUAUCACACGUUUUCUUUCCUUCAUCUGCAUGGUGGGGUUUUGCAACUGGUAUCCAAGGUUUAUUGGUCACUCAUCUCUCAAGAGUGCGACGUAUUUGGCAUUACUAAAAAUGUACUCGUUUCGGUUUGAUGACCAAUUUGUGCUUGAUAUUUUGCAGCUGGUUGCACUUGGAUAGUCGACCCAUUGGUUAGAGUAACCUCUACUUCGGUGGAUAGUCUCUCGAGUGGUGAUUUAAAUGAUUUGCUGAAUUGUUGGCUGAUAAAAGAGCUAAUGGCGCCAGUGUCGAUUGUUGCAGUCAUUAUUUUCCUUCCUAUAACGGAAGUAAUUGUGAAUUUAUAACCUUUAAGAAUUAGUGCUGGGCAUUAAACGGAAGGAUUGGAUUGUCGGGAUUCGUUGCCCCUCUGUCCAAUCGAAUUCCGUGGGAGCUUUCCGGCUAUGGAUUACAAUUCUGUUCUCUUGCAGUUCGUCUUCUACCAUAAUUUGAGAUGUCUCGGCAUUUAACGUACCACAUGUAGCCAAGAAGCACGUUCCAGAAAAUCUAUUCUAACUUUUUUUUCUCAUCCAUUCUAGUGUGGCGCAUUAGAUGCUACGAAGCUACGACGUUAUUUUUAAAAGUCUCGUGGACCCGUUGGAUUGGGAUCCGAAUUUCAUCUUCUCAUCUUUGUAGACAACGUAGCGGAAGGAAGACUUUAGAAAUCAGCUUGAAAGAUGUAAUACGACGUCCAUUGCUUCCGGUUCUUCCGAAACCACGUCAGCGCUGUGUCUUGUAAUACUUCGGGUAUUGUGCUCGGUAAUUCUCCAGGAUUAAUUUCAUAAGACUCCGUUAAUCCUUCGAUUCCUUCACUG